AUACAAUGAUGAGGACAUCUUCUGAGUAACUCUUUAAAUCUUUCCUAUGGAUCACACAAGCUUUCAUCUUCAAAUUGAUGGAAAGAUGUGAUCUCGUUCCUCAACUU
Molecule: non-coding RNA, 107 nt
Organism: Citrus sinensis (sweet orange)
Lineage: Eukaryota; Viridiplantae; Streptophyta; Magnoliopsida; Sapindales; Rutaceae
Source: Rfam